AUGAGUAAUGACGCCUUUAUAAUCUGCUCUUGGAAUGUACGAGGACUUGGUGAUAACGACAAGUGCUCUGACGUGCUAUCCGAACUAAUCGCAACAAAACUGCACAUUACGCUCUUACAAGAAUCAAAAAUCGACUCUCUCUCCGACAGUAAAACAAAAUCCUUCCUACCACGUCAGGCUGACCAAGUUUUCUCCUUGCCAGCUGUCGGAACCGCGGGUGGCACCAUCUCGGCCGUCAACUCUACGUCCUUCCAAGUUGUGUCCUUCUCCCAUUUAACCUUCUCCUCCACACUAAUCCUUCAAUCAACUGCCUGCGCCCACCACAUUGCCAUUACUAACAUCUACGCUCCCUCCUCGCGCUCUCUCAAGUUAGCGUUCUUAGACGAACUCGUCUCAAUCGCACAACCCGAUGACACCCCAUGGCUCAUCGCCAGUGACUUCAACCUCAUCCGUUUCCCCUCCGAAAAAAACACCGCCUUCCGCCCCGCCAAAACCAACGCGUUCAACCAAACCUUAGAUAACCUAGCACUUAUCGAAUUGCCUUUACUGGACCGCAGGUUCACUUGGUCCAAUAACCGUGCCUCCCCCACCCUAGAACGGCUAGAUCGCGUCUUUUUUAACCUUGCAUGGGCAGAUGCUUUCCCUAACACUUCCCUUUCCUCUCGAUCUCGCUUUACGUCCAAUCACGUUCCACUCCUCAUCCACGUCACCACCUCCAUCCCUCGAUCCAACUUUUUCAAAUUCGAAGCGGCCUGGGCCAACUCCCGGCCCUGCAAGGACAUUUUUGCUCAAAUUUGGGCUGCACAGCCCUCAUCGCCAACCAAUGCCACUGCCUCCCUCGUCUCUGCGCUCAAAAAAUCUCGUGCCCGUCUUAAGACUUGGGCACGUCCUCGUAUCCCCACCCACCUACGCGAGGCUCGCUGCCAAGCUACAAUCACAGCCCUAGACCUCGUUGAAGAAACUAGACCCCUAACUCAGCCAGAGUCGCUCACUCGCAAAAUCAUCAUCUCCUUGCUCAAGAGUGCCAUCCACGAGAAAAUGACAUAUUGGCGCUAG
RNAcentral lists this ribosomal RNA (1056 nucleotides) under Triticum aestivum (bread wheat). RNAcentral's name for it is "partial small subunit ribosomal RNA". Lineage: Eukaryota; Viridiplantae; Streptophyta; Magnoliopsida; Poales; Poaceae. The record is from RNAcentral.